Non-coding RNA from Glossina morsitans morsitans, 72 nucleotides. The record is from Rfam. NCBI's taxonomy places the organism in Eukaryota, Metazoa, Arthropoda, Insecta, Diptera, Glossinidae.
UGCCGUAUGGUCUAGUGGUCAGGACGUUCGCCUCUCAGGCGGAAGAGCCGGGUUCGAUUCCUGGUGCGGUAG